UCUGAACCCAUCAGAAAGACAUUUACUGGGUGCACUGGAGAGAAGGGAAAAAUUAAAGGAAAAUUAACAAUGAAGGAGGGAAUGGGGAAGGUGGCGGCAGCGGAUGAAGUGCUCCGGGAGGUGGGCAGGGGCCAUGGCUAUUGUGAAAGAUUUUGAAGAGAAAUGUGGGACUCCCGAUAUCAGGCUUAAGCAGGUGGCCGACGCCAUGGCGGUGGAAAUGCAUGCCGGGCGGGAGCAAGCUGAAUAUGCUCAUUAGCUAUGUGGAUAAUCUCCCAACAUGGUACAUACUGCAUUUUAUGAUCACCUUGUUUAUAUGGAUAGAUUGUGUGAAAUAGAGUAAAUUUUGUAUGUGCUCUAGAAGUAGGAAACAGAUCUAUGUUACGCCGGGUUUGGUAAUAAGGAUUGGAUAGAAUCCCAUACUGUUCAGUCCUGUUGAUCACAAGUACUAAACAUGCAUUUAGAGUAUGAGGAUGUGUAAUCGUACUAAAAUGGAUAUGAUAAGAAAUGAACUGUGCAAUUCCAAAGUGGCACGGUCCUUGACUAAAUCUGGUGAAAAAAUUAGCAAAAUUUUCAGUACUUGAUGAUAAAAUCAACUAUUUUUCCUUUAAAGAAGAAGUCAGGACAAUGUGUCAAUAUUGAAGUAAAUCUUUCAUAAUGCAGAUGUAGAGAAAAUAUUGAUUCUUGAUUCGGUUAUUAAACUCAUUAGUUGGAUUAGUUAGUGAGUUAGAAAAUCAGUUAGGAGCCUUUGGUUCUAACUAAUUUUCUGGUAGUUGUUGUAGCUGAAUAUUAGAUGUAUUUUCUUGUAAAUCUCUACAUUCCUUUGUCUAUAAAUAGGAUAGAGGGCUGUAUAAGUGAAGUGUGAGCAAGAGGGGGAUAUCUGUAGAUAGAGAAAGUAAGGUAGUGUGAGAUAGAAUUCUCUGUAACACAAGUCCUUGUAAACUUUCUGGUUAUUCCCGGUUGGGUGGUGAGUGGUGGUGUUUUGGGUAAGAUAAACACUGUAAUAUUCUUCUUGAAUGGCAGAUUGACUGGGGGUUAAAUUCCCUGCAUUGGUUGAUGAAAUUUAGUCCCUAAAACAAGCUAUUCUUGUGUCCAUUUAUCUGAGUUCUUUGCUGGUUUUAUAUUCUGCCAUUUCUGCUGCAUUCUCUCCUGCCUGUCAUGCAAAUCUGUGAAGAUCAUUGUUUCCUGGGACAUGGGAGAUUGGUAAAAAUCCUAAUAGCAGUUUACCAAUAUGGAAUGGGGUAACUUUAGGUCAUUGACGGAGCAUUACCAUUCAAUGGAUCUCAAAAUUUUAAAUCCUGGUGAACAGGUGACUAAUCUUUAAUUCUUGUUACAGAUAUUUGAGAAGAUGACUUCUGGCAUGUAAUUUGAGAGAAAUUCUGCGGGGAGUUCUACUCAAGAUAGCUGAAGAAGCUGCAUUUUUUGGGGACGAAAUUCCUGCAAAACUUAAAUUUUCAUUUGUUUUGAGGUAUUCCCUGAAGACCAUUGAUUUUUAUUAAGCUAAUUGCCUUGCUCUUAUUUUAUAAACGGAUGUCUGUUUAACUGCAUUGAUCCUUAUCCAUUACUUCCUUCUUCAUAUUAAUUUUCCACUUGUAGCUUUUCCGAGUUUAUUUUCUACACUUUUAUAUUCCAUAUGGAGUCGAUACUUGGGAAUAAAAGUUAAAUUCUGAGCUAGAAAAUAUGGAGGACGCCUGAUUUUUUGGGUAAGAUCCAUUGAUGUUUCUUGAUUGCUUCUUCUAUUCAUUGUUAGAUAUUCAGUUUCAUGUCGUGUUAUAGAAUGUCUUUCGUUACAAUUACA
RNAcentral lists this long non-coding RNA (1795 nucleotides) under Olea europaea subsp. europaea. The record is from RNAcentral. Lineage: Eukaryota; Viridiplantae; Streptophyta; Magnoliopsida; Lamiales; Oleaceae.